UAAUACGAACCGUCCAAACGUUAUUCGGAUUUAUUGGGCUUAAAGGGUAUGUAGGCGGCCCUUCAAGUCGGGUGUGAAAGCCCUCGGCUCAACCGAGGAACUGCGCCCGAUACUGUGGGGCUCGAGGGAGACAGAGGUAAGCGGAACUGAUGGUGGAGCGGUGAAAUGCGUUGAUAUCAUCAGGAACACCAGUGGCGAAAGCGGCUUACUGGGUCUCUUCUGACGCUGAGAUACGAAAGCUAGGGGAGCGAACGGGAUUAGAUACCCCGGUAGUCCUAGCUGUAAACGAUGAGCACUUGAUCGAGGAGCCCCCCAUAGCUUCUCGGUCGUAGCGAAAGUGAUAAGUGCUCCGCCUGGGGAGUAUGGUCGCAAGGCUG
This 377-nucleotide ribosomal RNA is filed under the name uncultured bacterium. Its description in RNAcentral is "bacterial SSU rRNA". It matches the Rfam family "Bacterial small subunit ribosomal RNA", at positions 521 to 896 of the family's 1533-position model. The record is from RNAcentral.